AAUGAACGCUGGCGGCGCGCCUAAUACAUGCAAGUCGAGCGAGAAGACGUAGCAAUACGUUUGUAAAGCGGCGAACGGGUGAGGAAUACAUGGGUAACCUACCCUCGAGUGGGGAAUAACUAGCCGAAAGGUUAGCUAAUACCGCGUACGCUUCUUGGACUUCGGUUCAGGGAGGAAAGCGAUGCCGAGGGUAUCGCGCUCUUGGAUGGGCUCAUGUCCUAUCAGCUUGUUGGGAGGUAACGGCUCACCAAGGCUUCGACGGGUAGCUGGUCUGAGAGGACGAUCAGCCACACUGGCACUGCGACACGGGCCAGACUCCUACGGGAGGCAGCAGUAAGGAAUAUUGCGCAAUGGGCGAAAGCCUGACGCAGCGACGCCG
This 379-nucleotide ribosomal RNA is filed under the name uncultured bacterium. Its description in RNAcentral is "bacterial SSU rRNA". It matches the Rfam family "Bacterial small subunit ribosomal RNA", at positions 29 to 399 of the family's 1533-position model. The record is from RNAcentral.